This 840-nucleotide ribosomal RNA is filed under the name Enterobacter cloacae. Its description in RNAcentral is "partial 16S ribosomal RNA". It matches the Rfam family "Bacterial small subunit ribosomal RNA", at positions 46 to 878 of the family's 1533-position model. The record is from RNAcentral. Lineage: Bacteria; Pseudomonadati; Pseudomonadota; Gammaproteobacteria; Enterobacterales; Enterobacteriaceae.
GUCUACACAUGCAGUCGACGGUARCAGGAAGCWKSUUGCUGCUUYKCUGACGAGUGGSGGRCGGGWGAGYAAUGWCUGGGAAACUGCCUGAUGGAGGGGGAUAACUACUGRAAACGGWARCUAAUACCGCAUAACGKCRCAAGACCARRGAGGGGGACCUUCGGGCCUCUUGCCAUCGGAUGUGCCCAGAUGGGAUUAGCUAGUAGGUGGGGUAACGGCUCRCCUAGGCGACGAUCCCUAGCUGGACUGAGAGGAUGACCAGCCACACUGGAACUGAGACACGGCCCAGACUCCUACGGGAGGCAGCAGUGGGGAAUAUUGCACAAUGGGCGCAAGCCUGAUGCAGCCAUGCCGCGUGUAUGAAGAAGGCCUUCGGGUUGUAAAGUACUUUCAGCGGGGAGGAAGGCGAUAAGGUUAAUAACCUUGUCGAUUGACGUUACCCGCAGAASAAGCACCGGCUAACUCCGUGCCAGCAGCCGCGGUAAUACGGAGGGUGCAAGCGUUAAUCGGAAUUACUGGGCGUAAAGCGCACGCAGGCGGUCUGUCAAGUCGGAUGUGAAAUCCCCGGGCUCAACCUGGGAACUGCAUUCGAAACUGGCAGGCUAGAGUCUUGUAGAGGGGGGUAGAAUUCCAGGUGUAGCGGUGAAAUGCGUAGAGAUCUGGAGGAAUACCGGAGGCGAAGGCGGCCCCCUGGACAAAGACUGACGCUCAGGUGCGAAAGCGUGGGGAGCAAACAGGAUUASAUACCCUGSYAGUCCACRCCGUAAACGAUGUCGACUUGGAGGUUGUGCCCWUGAKGCGUGGCUUCCKGAGCUAACGCGUUAASYCSAYCGCCUGGGG